RNAcentral lists this ribosomal RNA (539 nucleotides) under uncultured bacterium. RNAcentral describes it as "bacterial SSU rRNA". It matches the Rfam family "Bacterial small subunit ribosomal RNA", at positions 777 to 1314 of the family's 1533-position model. The record is from RNAcentral.
AAUAGAUACCCCGGUAGUCCACGCCGUAAACGAUGAGUGCUAAGUGUUAGAGGGUUUCCGCCCUUUAGUGCUGAAGUUAACGCAUUAAGCACUCCGCCUGGGGAGUACGGCCGCAAGGCUGAAACUCAAAGGAAUUGACGGGGGCCCGCACAAGCGGUGGAGCAUGUGGUUUAAUUCGAAGCAACGCGAAGAACCUUACCAGGUCUUGACAUCCUCUGACAACCCUAGAGAUAGGACUUCUCCUUCGGGAGCAGAGUGACAGGUGGUGCAUGGUUGUCGUCAGCUCGUGUCGUGAGAUGUUGGGUUAAGUCCCGCAACGAGCGCAACCCUUGAUCUUAGUUGCCACCAUUUAGUUGGGCACUCUAAGGUGACUGCCGGUGACAAACCGGAGGAAGGUGGGGAUGACGUCAAAUCAUCAUGCCCCUUAUGACCUGGGCUACACACGUGCUACAAUGGACGGUACAAAGAGCUGCAAGACCGCGAGGUGGAGCUAAUCUCAAUAAAACCGUUCUCAGUUCGGAUUGUAGGCUGCAACUCCG